This 869-nucleotide ribosomal RNA is filed under the name Bacillus licheniformis. Its description in RNAcentral is "bacterial SSU rRNA". It matches the Rfam family "Bacterial small subunit ribosomal RNA", at positions 1 to 864 of the family's 1533-position model. Lineage: Bacteria; Bacillati; Bacillota; Bacilli; Caryophanales; Bacillaceae. The record is from RNAcentral.
UCGGAAGGGGAGGAGAGACGCUGGCGGCGUGCCUAAUACAUGCAAGUCUCGAGCGGACCGACGGGAGCUUGCUCCCUUAGGUCAGCGGCGGACGGGUGAGUAACACGUGGGUAACCUGCCUGUAAGACUGGGAUAACUCCGGGAAACCGGGGCUAAUACCGGAUGCUUGAUUGAACCGCAUGGUUCAAUCAUAAAAGGUGGCUUUUAACUACCACUUACCGAUGGACCCGCGGCGCAAUAGCUAGUUGGUGAGGUAACGGCUCACCAAGGCGACCAUGCCUAACCGACCUGAGAGGGUGAUCGGCCACACUGGGACUGAAAACUCCUCCAGACUCCUACGGGAGGCAACAAUAGGGAAUCUUCCGCAAUGGACGAAAGUCUGACGGAGCAGCGCCACGUGAGUGAUGAAGGUUUUCGGAUCGUCAACUCUGUUGAUAGGGAAGAACAAAUACCGUUCGAAUAGGGCGGUACCUUGACGGUACCUAACCAGAAAGCCACGUGCUAACUACGUGCCAGCAGCCGCGGUAAUACGUAGGUGGCAAGCGUUGUCCGGAAUUAUUGGGCGUAAAGCCGCGCGCACGCGGUUUCUUAAAUCUGAUGUGAUCGCCCCGGGCUCAGCCGGGGAGGGUCAUUGGAAACUGGGGAACUUGAGUGCAUAGAGGACAGUGGAAUUCCACGUGUAGCGGAUGAAAUGCGUAGAGAUGUGGAGGAACACCGGUGCCAAUGGCCACUCUCUGGUCCUGUAACUGACGCUGAGGCGCGAAGCAUGGGGAUGCGAACCCGAUUAAAUACCCUGCUAUCCACGCCGUAAUCGAUGAGUGCUAACUGUAGAGGGUUCCGCGCAUUUAAUGCUGCAACCACGCAUCUAG